UAGUGGCGAACGGGUGAGUAACACGUGGGCAAUCUGCCCUUCACUCUGGGACAAGCCCUGGAAACGGGGUCUAAUACCGGAUAACACUCUGUCCCGCAUGGGACGGGGUUGAAAGCUCCGGCGGUGAAGGAUGAGCCCGCGGCCUAUCAGCUUGUUGGUGGGGUGAUGGCCUACCAAGGCGACGACGGGUAGCCGGCCUGAGAGGGCGACCGGCCACACUGGGACUGAGACACGGCCCAGACUCCUACGGGAGGCAGCAGUGGGGAAUAUUGCACAAUGGGCGAAAGCCUGAUGCAGCGACGCCGCGUGAGGGAUGACGGCCUUCGGGUUGUAAACCUCUUUCAGCAGGGAAGAAGCGAGAGUGACGGUACCUGCAGAAGAAGCGCCGGCUAACUACGUGCCAGCAGCCGCGGUAAUACGUAGGGCGCAAGCGUUGUCCGGAUUUAUUGGGCGUAAAGAGCUCGUAGGCGGCUUGUUGCGUCGGUUGUGAAAGCCCGGGGCUUANCCCCGGGUCUGCAGUCGAUACGGGCAGGCUAGAGUGUGGUAGGGGAGAUCGGAAUUCCU
Molecule: ribosomal RNA, 564 nt
Filed under: Streptomyces sp. 322B08
Lineage: Bacteria; Bacillati; Actinomycetota; Actinomycetes; Kitasatosporales; Streptomycetaceae
Description: bacterial SSU rRNA
Rfam family: Bacterial small subunit ribosomal RNA
Source: RNAcentral